AAAUGAAGGAGUGAGGAGUGUGUGCAGCCAACGGGGCUUCUUUGGAAGAAAGCAGUAUGUUUGCAGCCAGUGGAAGAUCCUCUUCAGCAUCAGGAUCAGGCGCUGAGGUCCCUUUUCCCUCUGGCUGCUCUCCGUGUCACUCGGGAUGGCCAUCUCCACCUCCUGCCACCAGCUGCCCCCUCCCCAAGGUGCUCACUUGCUCCUUCGGCAGCAUCCCCACGGGAGCCCUCCAGGACUGCAGGAAGAAGAGAAACACUGCAAUAAAUGGUAAUGCAAAUAGCAACUGCAGCUCUAAUUACAAGAGAGAAAAGGGAUUAAAAUUAGAACUGAGAAUAGUAAACAAAUCUAAAUUCUGCAGGGAAGAUGUGGGGGGCUUCUCGUGGGUUUUGAAAGUGGAAGUCAAUUCUCUUCUGUCGUUUCUUGUGUUUGCUGAGCCCAGCUCUCUCCCUCGAGAAAGAGCUUUCAAGAAAGUUUCGUUUCUCUGCGCGGUGUUGGUCCUGCAGGCCACCGCCGCGCUGCCGACGCGGGUUGAGGUCACAGCUCCUCUUUGUCGUUUUUUUCCCCCGUACACUGGUGUCACCACUUGUUUACAGGAGCCCAAUUAUUAAUGUGUUGAAUGCCCACAUCAAAAGACUUCCGAAACCUCCUGGAAACUGAAAAAGCCUCAUUGGUAGAACCUGUGUUCAGUCUUGUUGGUAGAUUUGAGUCUUUGAAAUACGUGUGUUUGAGGGCUAGUGCCUAGCUCAGCACCACUGCCGGGCUUUGCAUCAUUUGUUAGUGGAAGCUUUCGUUUAUCUUCAAUAGCAAGGAAGCUCUUCUCAGGCACUUUUACCUCAAUUUUUGCUGAAAUGGCCAAUUUCCCUAGCACAGCGGGGAAAAGGGAAAAAGCAAAUCAUCAAUGUUCACUCUCUGGCUACGAAAUCUUGCAGAAACGAUCACAAGUGACUGGGUACCCGAGCAGGGUGACAGUGAAACCUUAUGGAAAAUUCCUCGACUGCUGCAGGUUCGGGAGGAAGACUUGCCAAGUGCAAUUCGUUUCUCCAUCCAAUCCUCAGAGGGAGCAAUCCCCAAAAUUGCUGCUCCGGGCAUGGCAAGGGCCCCUGCCUCGCAGGCACGGGGUGGUGGGCAGCUGGAACAAGCUAGCAGGAGCUACUCUUUAGCUGUGCUAUGACACUGCAAAGACCUGAAAUGUGCAUUUCCUUUGAGGAAGAUGCCAUUUAUGAUAACCAAAUUACGAGUUCACGUUUUUAUCAAAUCCGGGUAAGCAACUAUUUAACCUCCAACACCCCCCACCCCCCUACACCGGUGACUAAAUGAAUGGUUUUCUGCAGAAGAGCUAUGUCAGUGUACAAGAUCCUCCACCACGCUUUCCUCCUUCCACAAAGAUGAAUCUUAGAGGGAAAAAGAAAAAAAAAUUACUUUUUUUUUUUUUUUCUCUUUUUUUUUAUAUCCUCUUUGGGUAAAAUCCUGGCCUGCUGGCAGCCCUGCCACCGGUGAGUCACACGCAUGACAUCGCAUCUGCUCUGUGAAGGCGGUGGCUGAGGCAGUGGCACUUUCUGUGACGUGCAGCCCUGCGUAGCCACGAGCCGAGGAUGUCCAGCGAGGCCA
RNAcentral lists this long non-coding RNA (1608 nucleotides) under Anas platyrhynchos platyrhynchos (common mallard). Its description in RNAcentral is "lncRNA (ENSAPLG00000027014.1)". The record is from RNAcentral. Lineage: Eukaryota; Metazoa; Chordata; Aves; Anseriformes; Anatidae.